CAGACUCCUACGGGAGGCAGCAGUCGGGAAUAUUGCGCAAUGGAGGAAACUCUGACGCAGUGACGCCGCGUGCAGGAAGAAGGUUUUCGGAUUGUAAACUGCUUUAGACAGGGAAGAUACAAGACAGUACCUGUAGAAUAAGCUCCGGCUAACUACGUGCCAGCAGCCGCGGUAAUACGUAGGGAGCAAGCGUUAUCCGGAUUUAUUGGGUGUAAAGGGUGCGUAGACGGGAAAACAAGUUAGUUGUGAAAUCCCUCGGCUUAACUGAGGAACUGCAACUAAAACUAUUUUUCUUGAGUGCUGGAGAGGAAAGUGGAAUUCCUAGUGUAGCGGUGAAAUGCGUAGAUAUUAGGAGGAACACCAGUGGCGAAGGCGACUUUCUGGACAGUAACUGACGUUGAGGCACGAAAGUGUGGGGAGCAAACAGGAUUAGAUACCCUGGUAGUCCACACCGUAAACGAUGGAUACUAGGUGUAGGGGAUGAAUAAUCCUCUGUGCCGUCGCAAACGCAGUAAGUAUCCCACCUGGGGAGUACGGCCGCAAGGUUGCAACUCAAAUGAAUUGACGGA
RNAcentral lists this ribosomal RNA (569 nucleotides) under uncultured Bacillota bacterium. RNAcentral's name for it is "bacterial SSU rRNA". It matches the Rfam family "Bacterial small subunit ribosomal RNA", at positions 332 to 917 of the family's 1533-position model. Lineage: Bacteria; Bacillati; Bacillota. The record is from RNAcentral.